This 301-nucleotide ribosomal RNA is filed under the name uncultured bacterium. RNAcentral's name for it is "partial 16S ribosomal RNA". It matches the Rfam family "Bacterial small subunit ribosomal RNA", at positions 509 to 809 of the family's 1533-position model. The record is from RNAcentral.
CAGCAGCCACGGUAAAACGUAGGGUGCAAGCGUUAAUCGGAAUUACUGGGCGUAAAGCGUGCGCAGGCGGUUAUAUAAGACAGAUGUGAAAUCCCCGGGCUCAACCUGGGAACUGCAUUUGUGACUGUAUAGCUAGAGUACGGCAGAGGGGGAUGGAAUUCCGCGUGUAGCAGUGAAAUGCGUAGAUAUGCGGAGGAACACCGAUGGCGAAGGCAAUCCCCUGGGCCUGUACUGACGCUCAUGCACGAAAGCGUGGGGAGCAAACAGGAUUAGAUACCCCAGUAGUCCCUGUCUCUUAUAA